Molecule: non-coding RNA, 284 nt
Organism: Paramuricea clavata
Lineage: Eukaryota; Metazoa; Cnidaria; Anthozoa; Malacalcyonacea; Plexauridae
Source: the annotation of a GenBank genome assembly
GUCUUAAUCAUAAAUCACUAUGCAGUGAAAUUAUGCACCAGCUGUUCUACUGCAAUCUAGCAAUCAAUGAGUUUUUUUAGAAUCAAAAAUUUUAUAUCAAUGGCCCACACCCAGGCCAUUAACAAUGUCGAAUCUCUCCCCCCCCCCUCAUGUAACAGCUAGAACAACAAAACAACAAGUACAUGUCGUACAUCACAGUAUGUCAGAAUAUUUUACAUUCAAAAUUUAAAAUGUUAAAUUAUUUUUGAAUGGGAGGCUAUACAUGCCAUAAUCCCUGAUUAACC